GAUGAAGAACGCAGCGAAAUGCGAUAAGUAGUGUGAAUUGCAGAAUUCAGUGAAUCAUCGAAUCUUUGAACGCACAUUGCGCCCCUUGGUAUCCCGAGGGGCAUGCCUGUUCGAGCGUCAUUUCACCACUCAAGCCUGGCUUGGUGUUGGGCGACGUCCCCUUUAGGGACGCGCCUCGAAACGCUCGGCGGCGUGGCACCGGCUUUAAGCGUAGCAGAAUCUUUCGCUUUGGAAGUCGGGGCCCCGCCUGCCGGAAUACCUACUCGUAAGGUUGACCUCGGAUCAGGCAGGGAUACCCGCUGAUCUUAAGCAUAUCAAUAAGCGGAGGA
This 329-nucleotide unclassified non-coding RNA is filed under the name soil metagenome. RNAcentral's name for it is "partial contains 5.8S ribosomal RNA, internal transcribed spacer 2, and large subunit ribosomal RNA". The stretch from base 1 to 120 matches the Rfam family "5.8S ribosomal RNA", at positions 35 to 154 of the family's 154-position model. The record is from RNAcentral.